CAGAAGAGUCCCUUCACUUUCAGCCGUUAUUUUGGCUGAUUUAGAGUUGGAUUUAGAGGACGCUGAAGUUGGAGAAAAAGUAGAUUAAGGCAUUAUUUCAGCAAUAGGAGGAGUCAUUUGGAGUUUCUGGAGUAGGAUUUGCCGUGCAAAGUGAAGUAAGAACGGGAAGAACGCGGUUGACUCCGUUCAUACAAUACUAGUGACGGAUACUUAUUCGAACUAUUUUGACGCUUAAUUGCAUUCACAAGCACAUCCAUAUUGGAGCUGAGGUUAUGGCUCAAGUGCAGUGCUUUUGGAGGGGCCCCAUGACGCCGGCCACCGUUGCCACCUAUUUUUGAACCCAAAUAAAGAACAUGAUUAUCGGAGUUUCAGACUUCGAACCGUAAAGAAAACAUGGCCAAUACACAAUUAUUUCAUUCCUCACCUUGACGCUUAUGGACUACAUGCUUUUGCUAGGCUCACAUCAUGCGAAGACCCAUCCCAGUUACAUUCGGACCCAUCCCUUUUAACAUCCCUCGUUGACCGGUGGAGACCUGAAACCCACACCUUUCACUUUCGUUUUGGGGAGCUUGCACCUACAUGAAAGAUGUUUCUAUGAUCCUUGCUCUACCAAUUAGAGGUGAGCCAUUAGUCUCUCCACGAGUGUCUAAAUCUUGGGCACAAAAUAUAUCAAACCGUCUUGAGUUGACAAUGCCAGAUUCACAACGUACUGGUGGCCCUCGUGGCAUCCCACUCUCCUGGCUUCAUGAUAACUUUGUUAAUUUUUCUAGCUUCGCUGAUUCUGAGAUGAGGAAAAGACAUCUGUUUGCGUAUUUGUUGUGGCUCCUCGGGGUUAUGUUUCCAAAUUCACACGGGGAUGUACUUCUCCCUGGUCUCAUCUACAUUGUGGAGAAGAUGGUAGAUGAACCUUUACCCGAGCAGCCAAAAUACAGCUUCGGUUCUGCCAUUCUAUCUCAUACAUAUAGAGGCUUGUGUGAUGCCACACAAAAAACUUCCUUCGCAAAAAAAGCUCCGUUACUUUGUGUCCCCUACGAGUUUCUAUAGUUGUGGUCCUGGGAAUACCUCCCUGUAGGACGACCUCGUAUAGUAAAUACCAUACACCCAUACGACUGUAGCGAGGGCAGCUGUGUAACUAUGGACAGUAGGUGGACAAAGGAAGGGAAACAUUGGUCUCCAAAUAUUGCGAAAAAUUGUUACCCUAUAUACCACCAGCAGUUUGAGGCACUUGAUGAGUUUGUAGUCACAUGAAACCCAUGGACUCAGGAGCAUGUACAUAUGGUCUUUGAUAUAUGACUCAUCAUAGAUGGCAUGUUGACUGAUAGUGCAUUCUGGCUGACUCGCUGCUACUUAUUGUUCUUGUGGUGUGUUGAGCCUUACAACCCAGAGCGUGUCAUGAGACAGUUCGGUCUGUAUUAGGAGAUUCCACCACCUUUUCCAAGAUGUACCGACGAGGAAACCCAUAAGCUGGCCAAUAUGGGCCACAGUUGGAGUCUUCACGAUUGGAGGGAACACAACAUUCAAUGGGUACACAUGUGGGAAAAUGAAGCGCUA
Molecule: long non-coding RNA, 1551 nt
Organism: Triticum aestivum (bread wheat)
Lineage: Eukaryota; Viridiplantae; Streptophyta; Magnoliopsida; Poales; Poaceae
Exons: 5
Source: RefSeq, a predicted model, not a curated record